UAAUACACGUGUUAUUAAUGAUGAAUAAUCUUGUAAACAAUAUGAAACAAAAGAGAAAUUAAUUUUACCUUGGACAUGCAGUCCCUUUUGGCUAAAGAUACCACGCGCCAACACAAACAUCACUGCAUGGAUGUCAUCGAAAUCACGAUGAGCUAUCGCACAUACCAAUAUCGGUACCACUAUGUGCUAUUGCACUUUUUUCGGAACUCACCACCGACAGUAGCGAGCUUAGAUCUGGAAUGGAUCUAUGUCAAACCACUAUACUCAUUCCUCUUCCUCUCUCUACUAGACACGACGCUCUCAGAUUCCCACCCCAUUGAUCCACCAUGCUAGUUUUCUUCUUUUAUCAUGCACGAAUCUGCAUAUUCACACAGAUUCGACACUUCCUCGGGUUUUGAUCACCUGCGAUCACGUCGUUAUUGCUUCUUUU
RNAcentral lists this long non-coding RNA (430 nucleotides) under Carica papaya (papaya). Its description in RNAcentral is "long non-coding RNA (CPAP_LNC007055)". The record is from RNAcentral. Lineage: Eukaryota; Viridiplantae; Streptophyta; Magnoliopsida; Brassicales; Caricaceae.